CAGGGGCAUUUUCGUAAUUUUACAUUAUAGUUAGAUGGAAAAAAAAUAAAGAACAUUGAUGCUUGCUGAGAAUGAGAUUCGAACCCCAACCACCCACUUUUCAGAAAGAGUCACCACCUUUUCCAGCUCCUCAGCCGUCCUCAUUCUUAUGACUCAAAUCAAUUCUAUCUAGAUUUAUACAGCUUACGCUAAACUUUAUUUGUUUCUUCCUGUUUUGUCCUGACUUAUCUUCCCUUUCCACCGACUUUCUGCUCUAAGUCUCUCUUAUUUUCAAAAACUAAGAACUCGCUCACUCUUCCACUCUCUCAGCUGCCACAAACACAAGCCCCACUACGAAAAGGAAGAUGAAUAUGUACGCAUGGAUAGCAGUCUCAUGCCUCCCAAGUACAUCGCGCUCUGGGUAUGAACUGGAGCCCACCUCCUCGCCAAUUGUGAAGAAGAGUAGUUGGCUCAUGAGCAAAUGAAGCAUGUCGAAGCUUGAAAAAGCAUGAUAUCUUCCUCUUCAUUCUCGAACGUAUUAUUCCUCACUCGACACUCUCUUCGUUUCUAUUCGCCUUAUUCUCUAUUCUCUUUCAAAGCUCUUAUUCACCACAUCUCAAACGCAUUUCUCCAAUUUAACCCCAAACUCUUGAACCCCCAUUUUGUUUCCAAAUUACAGCCCAACCAUGUCCACCACAUCCCUCUCAGCCUCCAAUCCAAUUCCAUUUCCGCCUAUCACUUGCUUGAUUGGUCCUGUAACUCUCCCGGCUUACACCACUCCCCACAGUCCUUUUGUGCCCUUACUCAUCUGCUGCUCCGUCACCGAAAGCUGGCUCCGGCUUCACACCUUUUCAAUACAAUGGUACGCCAAUUUGGGACUCAUUUUCACUUUUUUGCUGCUUUUUCUGAGAUUUCUCCCAAUUAUGCUUCGGAUUCUAGUGAUCUUUAUAGCUUUCUGAUUGAGAACUUUUGUCGGAAUGGGAUGCUAGAUUCGUCUAUUGAGACAUUCAUUCAUAUGUGUAAAUUGGGAGUUCCGGUGUCUGCUUAUGUGUUAUCUAGAAUGUUGACUUUUUUGGUUGAUUCAAAUUGUGUCCAUGUGAUUCUUGAUUUAUAUGGACAAGUGUGUAAAGCAUUGAGAGGACAGUGUUUCUGUGCGUAUGAGUUUGUUAUGGUUGCUCUUCUAAACAAGGGUAAAGUUGAAACGGGUGUGGAUUUUCAUUCCGCUGUGAUUGAAGGAGGCUUUGUGGUUGAUAUUGUUGCUUGUAACAAGAUUUUAAAGCGUCUUUGUAAAGAAAAUCUGAUUGGAGUUGGGGAAGAUUUCUUUAAUGUAUUGAUGAUGGGUGGUCCCGAGCCAAAUGUGGUGACAUUCAGCACGAUGAUUAACGCGUAUUGUAAGGAUGAGAAAUUGGAGGAGGCCAUUAAGCUUUAUAAGGUUAUGAUAGAGAAGGGUGUCAGCCCUGACUUGGUUGUAUAUAGUAUUCUAGUUGAUGGUCUUUUUAAGGCAGGGAAAUUGGAGGAGGGGCUUCGACUGUUUUCAGAGGCAUUAGGUAGCGACAUUAGGUUGGAUGUAGUCAUUUUCAGUUCUGUUAUGGAUGCCUAUGUGAGAAUUGGAGACUUGGUGAAGUCAGUGGAGGUCUACGGAAGAAUGCUGAAAGAGGGGAUCUCGCCAAACCCUGUUAGUUACACCAUUCUUAUAAAUGGUAUGUGUCAGGAUGGUAAGGUCAUGGAGGCUUGUGGCAUAUUCGGUCAGAUUGUGAAGUGUGGUUUUGUGCCAUCCAUUCUAACUUACAGUAGUUUGAUUGAUGGAAUGUGCAAAUUGGGGAAUUUAAAGGAUGCAUUUUACCUGUAUGAGAGUAUGAUCAAGACUGGCUAUGAACCUGAUAUUAUUCUUUAUGGUGUGCUAGUAAAUGGCCUUUGCAAACAGGGGCUGAUGGGUGAUGCUCUUAGGUUUUUCUUUCAGGCUGUUUAUAGGGGUGUAAAGCCCAAUGUCUAUACUUUUAAUAUGUUAAUAGAUGGUUGCUGUAGAUUAAAAAGACUAAGUGAUGCUGUGAAGGUGUUCAUCCAAAUGGGAGUUUAUAACGUAAAACCUGAUAUGGUGACGUAUACUGUGAUUAUUAAGGGUAUCUCUGAAGUAGGGAGAUUAAAAGAUGCGUUAGUAUUUUUUUUCCAAUCAUUAAAGAAGGGGUUCUUGCCCGAUGUUGUUAUGCAUUGCACACUAAUUGAUGGUUGCUGCAAGCAGAAACAUGUGUAUUAUGGACUCCGAAUUCUAGAGAUGAUGCGAAGAAAUGGAGUAAGUCCUGAUAUUGCCAUUUAUAAUGUUCUCAUUAAUAUGCUUUUCAAAGAAAGUUAUUUAGAAGCUGCACAAGAACUCUUUGAGCAACUUACUGAAAGUGGGCCAGAACCUGACAUUGUUACGUACAACACAAUGAUUUGUGGUUAUUGCUCUCUGAGAAGGUUAGAAGCAGCUGUUCAACUUUUUCAAAAGCUGAUACAGGGACAGUGUAAACCCAAUGCCAUUACUUGUACUAUACUGAUUGAUGCUUUUUGCAAAGAAGGUAACAUGGAUGAUGCCAUGUUGAUGUUUGAUAAAAUGCGGGAAAAGGAUCCCGAACCAAAUUUGGUCACAUAUAGUUGUCUUAUUGAUGGUUAUUUUAAAUCUGAAAACAUGAAAAGUGCAUUUGAACUGCACGAAGAGAUGCUUAAAAACAUCUCUCCCAAUAGAGUCAGUUAUAGCAUCCUCAUGGAUGGUCUUUGCAAGAGAGGACUAACGGAGAGAGCAUCCCUUGUGUUUCAUUGUGCUAUAGAAAGGGGUUUGUUGCUUGAUGUAAUAGCAUAUGGGAUUCUGAUUCGUGGUUACUGCAAGGUAGGAAGAAUGGCAGAAGCCCUCAUUUUGUACGGCCAUAUGUUAAUUAGUGGCAUCAUGCCGGACGCUGUCAUACAAAGGACGAUCACUGAGCAUAUUCUUGAAGCUGAUCAACAGAAAUAAUCGACCACUCAACCGCAUGAUCUGCAGAUAAGAUCUGUUCUGUAAUACAGUGUGCCAUUUGGAGCCUGCGUGGUCAUCUUUUUGCACCCUUUACCUAUCUGGUACUACCUACUAGCUAAUUGUUCUACUAGCAACAUAAUUUUCUAAGCCCAGGAUCAAGGAUCUUCAUGUCACAUCCCGGGAUCGGCUCUGCCGUAGCACGAUAUUGUUCGCUUUGGGCCCUCAUCUCUGCCUUCACGGUUUUGUUUCUGGGAACUUAUGAGCAACUUCUCAGUGGGUCACUUAUCCUGGGAUUGCUCUAGUCCCAACUCGCUUAACUUCGGAGUUUCCAUGACUCCGAAGUCAGUGAGCUCUCAAAAGGCCUCGUGCUAGAUGGAGACGGGCAUGUACAUAUAGGCACAUCACCCCCUCUCUGUUGGUCGAUAUGGGAUGUUACAUUUCAAGUUCGAUCUCUUGUUUACAAAUAUAAUGCCGGAGAGACUACUAGCUCUCAUGUCAUUAUCAUCAUCAAGGAUCUUUAGGUCCUGAUAUAGUUAUAUGAUGAAUGAGCUUCUAGUUCUGAUCUUUGUACUUGUAAAAACUCAUCAUAUUGCAUAAUUAAUUCAUAAAAUAAAUUGCUGGUAUGGAU
This is an RNA transcript of Prunus persica (peach), 3593 nucleotides long. It is a transcript of the gene named putative pentatricopeptide repeat-containing protein At1g31840, with no coding region annotated. The transcript has 3 exons. The record is from RefSeq and is a predicted model, not a curated record. Lineage: Eukaryota; Viridiplantae; Streptophyta; Magnoliopsida; Rosales; Rosaceae.